UGACCUCGGAUCAGGUAGGACUACCCGCUGAACUUAAGCAUAUCAAUAAGCGGAGGAAAAGAAACCAACAGGGAUUGCCCCAGUAACGGCGAGUGAAGCGGCAACAGCUCAAAUUUGAAAUCUGGCCUUCGGGUCCGAGUUGUAAUUUGGAGAGGAUGCUUCUGGCAAGGCGCCGUCCGAGUUCCUUGGAACAGGACGCCGUAGAGGGUGAGAGCCCCGUACGGGCGGCCGCCGAGCCUCUGUGAAGCUCCUUCGACGAGUCGAGUAGUUUGGGAAUGCUGCUCAAAAUGGGAGGUAAAUUUCUUCUAAAGCUAAAUACCGGCCAGAGACCGAUAGCGCACAAGUAGAGUGAUCGAAAGAUGAAAAGCACUUUGAAAAGAGGGUUAAAAAGUACGUGAAAUUGUUGAAAGGGAAGCGCCUGUGACCAGACUUGCGGCCCGCGGAUCAUCCGGUGUUCUUCACCGGUGCGCUCCGCGGGCUGCAGGCCAGCAUCGGUUUUCCUGGGGGGACAAAGGUCGCGGGAACGUAGCUCUUUCGGGAGUGUUAUAGCCCGCGGCGUCAUGCCUCCGGGGGGACCGAGGACCGCGCUUCGGCAAGGAUGCUGGCGUAAUGGUCACCGGCGACCCGU
RNAcentral lists this ribosomal RNA (628 nucleotides) under Ophiostomataceae sp. 2PG3P-A1. RNAcentral's name for it is "eukaryotic LSU rRNA". It matches the Rfam family "Eukaryotic large subunit ribosomal RNA", at positions 1 to 652 of the family's 3401-position model. The record is from RNAcentral. Lineage: Eukaryota; Fungi; Ascomycota; Sordariomycetes; Ophiostomatales; Ophiostomataceae.